Molecule: non-coding RNA, 31 nt
Filed under: Rattus norvegicus (Norway rat)
Lineage: Eukaryota; Metazoa; Chordata; Mammalia; Rodentia; Muridae
Source: RNAcentral
UGGAUGUUGUUAAUGACCUGAUGACCUUUGU